This 388-nucleotide ribosomal RNA is filed under the name Candidatus Cloacimonadota bacterium. RNAcentral describes it as "partial 23S ribosomal RNA". It matches the Rfam family "Bacterial large subunit ribosomal RNA", at positions 2527 to 2925 of the family's 2925-position model. The record is from RNAcentral. Lineage: Bacteria; Pseudomonadati; Candidatus Cloacimonadota.
CGAUGUCGGCUCAACUCAUCCUGGGGCUGAAGAAGGUCCCAAGGGUUCGGCUGUUCGCCGAUUAAAGAGUUACGCGAGCUGGGUUCAGAACGUCGUGAGACAGUUCGGUCCCUAUCCUUCGUGGGCGCAGGAGAUUUGAGGGGAGCUACAUUUAGUACGAGAGGACCGGUGUGGACGAACCUCUGGUGUACCGGUUGUGAUGCCAAUUGCAUUGCCGGGUAGCUAAGUUCGGAUUGGAUAACCGCUGAAAGCAUCUAAGCGGGAAGCCAACCCCAAGACGAGAUCUCCCCAUCAGACAGGUUGGAGACGACAACCUUGAUAGGUCACAGGUGUAAGCGCAGUAAUGUGUUCAGCCAAGUGAUACUAAUAAGUCGAUUGGCUUUCACCA